This 1233-nucleotide ribosomal RNA is filed under the name uncultured Rozellomycota. Its description in RNAcentral is "SSU rRNA". It matches the Rfam family "Eukaryotic small subunit ribosomal RNA", at positions 455 to 1690 of the family's 1831-position model. Lineage: Eukaryota; Fungi; Rozellomycota. The record is from RNAcentral.
CACAGGGAGGUAGUGACAGGAAAUAACAAUGUGAAGCUCUACGAGCUAUCACAAUUGGAAUGAGUACCACUUAAAACACGUAACGAGUAACAAUUGGAGGGCAAGUCUGGUGCCAGCAGCCGCGGUAAUUCCAGCUCCAAUAGCGUAUAUUAAAGUUGUUGCAGUUAAAAAGCUCGUAGUUGAGGUUCGGGCGAGGCGCCCAGUCUGGCAUGUUGUCAGCACUGGGCGGUCAGCCAAGCGUGAGCAAUCACAUGGCACCUCGCCUUACUUCUGGGGAACCUGGCGUGCUCUUUACUGAGUGCCCAGAGGAACCAGGACGAUUACUUUGAGGAAAAUAGAGUGUCCAAGGCGGGCAGAUGCUUGAAUACGUUAGCAUGGAAUAAUAAAAUAGAAUGUUGGUUCUAUUUUGUUGGUUUUGAGAACCAUCAUCAUUGAUGAAUAGGGACAGUUGGGGGCAUUAGUAUUCCGGGGCUAGAGGUGAAAUUCUUGGAUUCCCGGAAGACUAACUACUGCGAAAGCAUUUGCCAAGGAUGUUUUCAUUAAUCAAGAACGACAGUUCAGGGAUCGAAGACGAUUAGAUACCGUCGUAGUCUGAACCAUAAACUAUGCCGACUAAGGAUCAGUCAGUGUCAUUUUCUUGACCUGAUUGGCACUUUGAGAGAAAUCAAAGUUUUUGGGUUCUGGGGGGAGUAUGGUCGCAAGGCUGAAACUUAAAGGAAUUGACGGAAGGGCACCACCAGGAGUGGAGCCUGCGGCUUAAUUUGACUCAACACGGGAAAACUCACCAGGUCCAGACAUAAUAAGGAUUGACAGAUUGAUAGCUCUUUCAUGAUUUUAUGGGUGGUGGUGCAUGGCCGUUCUUAGUUGGUGGAGUGAUUUGUCUGGUUAAUUCCGAUAACGAACGAGACCUUAACCUGCUAACUAGACCGUUCCAGCUUGCCUGGAUCUCGGUCUUCUUAGAGGGACUAUCAGUGACUAACUGAUGGAAGUUUGAGGCAAUAACAGGUCUGUGAUGCCUUAGAUGUUCUGGGCCGCACGCGCGCUACACUGAUAAAGCCAGCGAGUGUCUCCUUGGCAGGAAUGCCUGGGUAAUCUUGUGAAACUUUAUCGUGCUGGGGAUCGAUCAUUGCAAUUAUUGAUCGUGAACGAGGAAUUCCUAGUAGGCGCAAGUCAUCAGCUUGCGCCGAUUACGUCCCUGCCCUUUGUACACACCGCCCGUCGAUACUACCGAUU